Triticum dicoccoides is the source of this 1443-nucleotide long non-coding RNA. RefSeq lists it as uncharacterized. The record is from RefSeq and is a predicted model, not a curated record. The transcript is spliced from 4 exons. Lineage: Eukaryota; Viridiplantae; Streptophyta; Magnoliopsida; Poales; Poaceae.
CAGCUCGGGCGGUCCGCACCCAAUCACCGGUGUCUCGCGGCUCUCGCCCCACCCCAGCCACCAAACGAGGAACCCUAGCCUCCUGUCUCCUUCCCCUCGAUCCCCACGAGCCGCUGCACCCCUCCCUCUCCCUUCCGUGCGUGUGCUCGGCCAACGACGCCGCCGUCGCCCUCGGCUCCUCCUCCACCACCUCGCCUUUUUCUCCUCCUUGCCUUCCCAUCGCUCGCGCGCAUGUCGCCACCGUCGGAGAACAGGACAGUGUGAGUCGCUUCCUCCUUUUCCUCCCGCCGGAUCUAAGGCGUGUGGCCGUGGAGGCGAGCCUCUCCGGUGGCGGCGGCAAAGGGUGACCACAUGGAUCGGUCCCUGCAGGAGAGAGAAGAUGGGAGAGAGGGAGAGAAGGAAGGAGAGGAGGGAGGCCCGGCGGCGGACGGGAGAGGGUCACCGACCGGCGCUGGCGAGGUCAGGUGCGACCUGGUGGUUGGUGGCGGCUCGAUCCACUCCUGGAUCCUUCUUCUUCCACUUCCCCACUGCCUAACACCUAGGAAGAGGGCUGGCCGAGGAAGAGGGCGAGGACGCGGGGAUUGAAGAGGGUGUUCCUGCGUUCAUCGCCUGGCCAAGGACGAGGACGACGAGGUGGGGUGGAGCUUGUCAUCCCUCUGGUUAUCACCUUCCUUUCUGCUACUGGGCUGAUAUGAGGGUUUUCUCCAUCGAUUGUGGUGGCCUGAGUCAGAGAUCGACAGCCAGAUGCUUGUGGCUACCACACAAAACGUGCUCUCUUGCUGACCUCGAGGUCCAGACGCAAUGGAUUGUCUCCAAGGUGUUUCUCCGACCAGCAACAACAAAACUCCACACUUUCUCAAUUGCGCUGUGAUUGGUUCAUGUCCACCAAGGCCGUUGCGUUGGUCGCGGUACUCGGCUUCCUUUGGGUUUGCUUGCUGUCGAGGAAGAAGAAAGGUGUGAACUAUGUGAAAAUGGACAAACCCACUGCCCCAGAUGAAGCACAACCCUCUUGAUCCAACUAGGAACAUCAAAACCAAAUGGGAAAUCAUUGAGUGGACUUCAGAUGUCCAUGCUGUGAGUACACCAUUAGUAUCUGAAUCUACUUUGUAUAAUUAAGACACACUUUCUACAUAUCGCUGCUAUAUUGAUACCAUGUGAUCACUUAACAUGAGUGUGACUAGGCUAUUUUCUUGCCUAACUGUGUGAUUGCAUGUAGUAAUGCAUGGCUUCUCUAUUUAAAUGAAGAGUUGUGUUUAUCAUAAUAAUUAUAUACCACAGACUUGUUUCUUUCUGUUUAUGUAAUAAUGCAGUUCGUCUUCUACCAUAUGUUUUCUUUGUUACAUGUCUUCUAAUUGUUCAUCUUUUUUUCUCUUUCCACGACAAAAUAACUUUGCAUUUGGCGUAACAAAAUAACUUUUUUCUCUUUGUUACAUGUCUUCUAAU